RNAcentral lists this long non-coding RNA (4214 nucleotides) under Oryza sativa (Asian cultivated rice). Its description in RNAcentral is "long non-coding RNA (OSAT_LNC001081)". The record is from RNAcentral. Lineage: Eukaryota; Viridiplantae; Streptophyta; Magnoliopsida; Poales; Poaceae.
AGAUCGACGAAGCAUACAUCAGUUUGUAUAUAUUCAGUUAUUAGCGCCAUGGAAUGCAAGACAAAGCGAGAUUAAACAUGGUGGUUUAGUGUGCGUGCGUACGUACCCCGGGAGCAGCGCUUGGCGAGGGCGAGCCUCUGCUCCAGGUGAGCACGGGUCACCGUCGUCGACAUUGUCGAGCAAGAUCGAUGGAGCUGAGAAGAAACUAGUCCUGAAGUGAAGUAGCUGGGAGGUGGAGAGAAUCGCCUACUGGUUGGAUCAGUAGUGCUGAGCGAGAUGAGAUGAGAUGAGAUUGAAGAGGAGGGGGUCUGGAUUUAUAGGCGAGAGAAUGCGAUCAUCGGAUGAUGCGAAGGCAGCAAGGUGGGGGAGCACGCACGCACCAAGGAGAGGAGACGACCAUGGUUUUGAGGUGAAAACCACGAGUGGUUGCAUAUGCUGGAGUGGUCGGUGGCACUGUGCUCGAUCUGCCCCCUGUUGAGGAUGGAUUCUAAUCUAAUCUCUCGGGUGGACGUUCACCCGUUUCUUACAUGUCACCUAAAUAAUUAUGAAAAAAUUCUAAAAAAAUUCACAAGAUAGGUUAAUAUGUAAUAUAUCUCUUCACAAACAUGCAAGUUCAAAUUCGACUUCUACAAGUUGUAACAAAAAUAACAAAUCAAACUCUAACUAGUAUACGUAUAUUCACAGUCAAAUUUGUUAUUUUUGUUAUAAUUUUUAGAAGUCUUGUUAUUUUUGUUAUAAUUUUUAGAAGUCGAAUUUGAACUUACAUAUUUGUGAAGUGAUAUAUUAUAUAUUAACCUAUCAUGUCAAUUUUUUUUAAAAUUUUUCAUAACUAUUUAAAUGACAUGCAAGAAACGGAUGUACGUUCACCCAAGUAUUUAAAAGAGUUUCCCGCACCCUGUUUUCUCUGACGUACUUCUCCACUCCACGUACGUAUGUAUGUGCUCCGUACAUGCCUUCUUUUCAGUAGAUCCUGAACAUUUUCAGAGUUAAAAAGAAAAGAGUAUUAUCGGUUUUACUGCCAAAAGAAAAACUUUUCAGAGUCGAAAUGAAUCUGAGCGGCACGUGGCAGGUGACAUUGGCCGGUUUGUCAGCCUGCCUGAUUAUCUUUAAGAGCAAAUUUAAUGGUAUAGCUAACUUAUUAUUUAUUAGCUUAUACUACUUGAGCUAAUAUGUAUAAUAAGUUAACCAUGUCUAACUAACUUAUUUGACAAUGCAGUGCUAAAAUAAAUAUUAAAUUAAAUAUGUGUUAAUUAUAGAUUAAUUAGGAUUAAUAGAUUUAUCUCAUAAAUUAGCCUCUAUCUGUGUAAUUAGUCUAUAUUUAAUACUUUAAAUUAGUGUCUAAACAUCCGAUGUGAUAGAGACUAAAGUUUAGUCUUUGUAUUCAAACACCCCCUCAAGAUGAUGCAUGCGUGUGCACUAUGCUAGCGUGCCCUCGGUUUUGGGUCGAUCGAUGAGCUGCAUUUUCCUUAAAAAAAAAAGCUAUCCUAUAAAUAUAUCUAAAAAAAUUAUUAUUCUUUUCGUGGCGCUAACAUAAUUGACAUCAUGAUCCAACAUGACGGUGGUCACGGCGCUAACAACAUUGGCACUAUCUCCCUUCACAUUAGUGAUUUAGAUUUCACUGAGGGGCUAUGGGGAUAGCGUCAACGUCAUUAACGUCUUCACGUUGGACCACGGCGCCAAUAACAUUGGCGCCACAAAAACAACCAUUUUUAAAAUAAGUUUUCUUAGGGGUAUAUUUGUAGAAUAAGUUUUCUAAAUGGUAGGAAGGUUUGAUAAUCAGCUUUCGAGAAUUUACAGAAAUUGGGUUUCCCAGCUUCUAUUUCUAGUUUAUUUUCUGAAUUUUUUAACUACAGCUUUUGAGAAUAUGGAUGAAAAGCUAACUAUAUAUAUGAGGGAGUUUUUGAUUUUAGCAGAAGCUGGACUGUUUGUGCUGAUAUGCUAGUGAUAGGAAUUGGUGACGGAAUUAGUCAAAUCGAUUCAACACUCGCAUACGCAUGCAUUAGGGUUCGAGUUGGACACCGCCGAAUUUUUACUCAUGUUUUACUUGAUCCGAUUCAUAGAUUUUUCGGAGAUAUGGAGACCCGGCCGUCAUGUGUACGUACUGAACCGGCACUUUUUGUUCUCUGAAGAAGAACAAGGUAGGGUGAAGCCAGCCAGCCACAGUAAACAGCUGAAUUUUGUAUAGUAGCAUUUGAACGGCACCCGUGAACAACCAUGCAUGAUUCAUGCACACGAAUGCGACGACCAUCGUGACGCGUUGUGUUGUGAUUUUGCCGUCAGUUUUGGUCUGAAUCCGUGGAUGUGUGCCGCUCGGUUGCCGGCAGUUUUCGCUCUGACGAACGCGACGCGACCGCGAAAACGCUCCUAGUUUUCGGGCGAAACCGGUUCAGUCAGCAGCAGCAGCAGCAGCAACGUCGAUUCUGUGAGCUGCGUGUAUGGCCACCAGCAUAUUUUAUAGGCUGUCAGGUUGCCGUGGGCCCACCUGUCAGGCCGGCACUGUAUGUAUAUACGUACAUUGUGCAAGUACUAUACGUAGCUCUAGUACACGUAUUGCCAGUAGAGAAAACUACAGUUAUACUCUCACCUUGCCUCAAAACUGACUGUAAAAUUUCUUAACUUUUCUCCCCCAAAAAGAUAACCGUAAAUUAAAUCUGAAGGGCAACUAAACAUCUUGGCCCUUGUGUUUUCUGAAACAGGAUAGAUCGAUCAGUCGAUGGCAUGAGCGCCGCCGGUUUGUGGGCGAUCGGCACCAUCACACCAGCAGCUAGCAUUACCGUCCUGUCCACUUCUUGUAUCAUGUCUGAAGAUAAUCUCUCCAUCUGUGUGGGGGCUCUCUGCAUCUAUCUGUGUCUUUUUUUAGCGCACAAAAGUCGAAAGCAGGAUAAGAAAAGCUGUUCGCUCUCUGCGUUGCUUGAUGGGGCCGACGUCGCAUGAUUGCAGUAUGGCGUUGUGCGCCGCAAUCUAAAUUUCUCCGCAGCUGAUAUUAAUCACCUGUUUGUGCUUCGACCAAGAGUCAUCUUCAUCUAAUAGCUUUCUGUUCGGUAGAUGGGUGAAGAUUGUCUGUAAUUAACUUGCUCAAAUGUGCUGGCUAGCUAAUUACUCUGAAAUGCCCAUGUAGGGCUAAUUCCUAUGAUAUUCUCUCUGUAACAAGUAUCUGCAACUUCCAUAUCAUUUUUCUUGUAUAGAUACAUAUGAGAGUUAGUAGUAGUUCUUUUUUUUUUACACAGUUACUUCUUAUACUUGAGAGUAGUUCACAGGCUGACAGACAGUUUCUAAUUUGUUGGCGUCGUUGGAAGAGCAAGAAACUUGUAGAAUGCACAUGAACCACAAAACCACCACAUCAAUGUAAUUCGUUCUCAAGUUCAAAAGAUUUGUUUAUUAGUACUACAAACUGGAGAUACAGACAUACAGUAUACUACAUCGAUCCAAGUACACAGCAAACACUUUCUGAAGCAGCAGCUAGCCUAGCAAUGCAAGCAGCAUUUUUUUUUUCUAUAGCUAGUUGAUUAGGAGAAAUUCAUGGCCUGAAGAAGGCAGGGUGAGGGCGGCCGGCGCCCUGGAAGGAGGUGUUCUUGAGGUGCUCCGGUGCGUUCUCGAAGGAGUGCCUCCUCGCCAGCGAGAGGAUCUUCUUGUCGGCGGCCACGAAGUAUGCCAUCCCGGCCGCCGUGCAGAUGAUCAGCGCCUGCCCCGUCGGGUUGAUGUUCGCCUUCGCCCAUGGCAGCAUCCUCACGCUCGCCAGCUGAUCGAUGAAACAACACAUAAAAUGUGCUCUAAGUUAGUACUCCUACUCUGCUAAUGAAGAACUGACACGAGAAAAAGGGCUAAUUAAUCCUAGCGUAGCAUGAUCUGAGAUAGUAGACACUUACGGUUGGAACGGCGGAGGCGAUGGUCGCAACGGCAGCCGCCUUAACCCCUGCAAUGUUCGCCUCUGCAGGUAUUAUGCAUCAGUUUAUAUUCAGUUAGGUGCCAUGGAAUUCAAUUAACGCAAAGACGAAGAACAUUGUAGGAGUAGUUGAUGACUUCGUAUACGUACCACGCGAGCAGCGCUUGGCCAGGGCGAGCCUCUGCUCCAGGUGAGCACGGGUCACCGUUGCCAUCGCGAUCAAGACGAUGAUGGGAUGGGAGCUGAAGAGAAAGUCUGAAGCGAAGGAGGUGAUUAACCCAAGGAGAUCGAGGAGUACUGGCUACUAGUUUGAUCGAGAGUGAGUUGAGAU